GGGGGACAACAGUUGGAAACAGGUGCUAAUACCCCAUAAGCCUAAGGUUUAAAGGAGCAAUCCGGGAGAGGAGAGACUCGCGUCCUAUCAGCUAGUAGGUGAGAUAAUGGCUCACUUAGGUUAAGACGGGUAACCGGAAUGAGAGGUCGAACGGUCACAUUGGAACUGAGACACGGUCCAGACUCCUACGGGAGGCAGCAGUGGGGAAUCUUGGGCAAUGGGGGCAACCCUGACCCAGCGACGCCGCGUGGGUGAAGACAUUCUUCGGAAUGUCAAGCCCUGUUGUAUGGGAAGAUAAUGACGGUACCAUACCAGAAAGCCCCGGCAAAAUACGUGCCAGCACCCGCGGUAAUACGUAGGGGGCAAGCGUUGUCCGGAAUUACUGGGUCAUAUAGCGCACGCAGGCGGAUUCUGUAAGUCCGUCGUAAACGCUAAGGCUCAACCUUUGCUUUGUCGUCGGAUACUGCCAAUCUAGCUAUUGCGAGAGGAACGUGGAACUUUCAGGUGUACGCGGUGAAAUGCGUAGAUAUGCUGGAGGAACACCACUGCCGAAGG
RNAcentral lists this ribosomal RNA (555 nucleotides) under uncultured bacterium. RNAcentral's name for it is "bacterial SSU rRNA". It matches the Rfam family "Bacterial small subunit ribosomal RNA", at positions 138 to 721 of the family's 1533-position model. The record is from RNAcentral.